Molecule: long non-coding RNA, 197 nt
Organism: Hemibagrus wyckioides
Lineage: Eukaryota; Metazoa; Chordata; Actinopteri; Siluriformes; Bagridae
Exons: 3
Source: RefSeq, a predicted model, not a curated record
CCUGCAGCUGCUGCCCACCGAACCACACGAAGAACCUUCAGCUGUCAUUCUGCCGCUCGAUGCUGAUGAGCCUGCCGUGAUGUUCAGUGUGUGUCUGUAGUCUCCUCCCUCUCCCAGUGGACAUAAGCAGAGACAUGAUUGGAAUGAUGAGGGGUCCAGAGAGUCGGCUCUGCUGGUUUGAAAGCGCAGAGACACAC